This 147-nucleotide ribosomal RNA is filed under the name uncultured bacterium. Its description in RNAcentral is "partial 16S ribosomal RNA". It matches the Rfam family "Bacterial small subunit ribosomal RNA", at positions 346 to 509 of the family's 1533-position model. The record is from RNAcentral.
AGGCAGCAGUGGGGAAUAUUGCACAAUGGGGGGAAACCCUGAUGCAGCGACGCCGCGUGAAGGAAGAAGUAUCUCGGUAUGUAAACUUCUAUCAGCAGGGAAGAUAGUGACGGUACCUGACUAAGAAGCCCCGGCUAACUACGUGCC